This 734-nucleotide ribosomal RNA is filed under the name uncultured euryarchaeote. Its description in RNAcentral is "bacterial SSU rRNA". It matches the Rfam family "Archaeal small subunit ribosomal RNA", at positions 85 to 821 of the family's 1478-position model. The record is from RNAcentral. Lineage: Archaea; Methanobacteriati; Methanobacteriota.
ACGGCUCAGUAACACGUCGGUAAUCUGCCCUAAGGUCGGGAAUAACCUCGCGAAAGUGAGGGUAAUACCUGAUAGGGAAAUUCGUCUGGAAAGAUUUUUUCCCAGAAAUUCGUGCCUUAGGAUGGGCCGGCGGCUGAUUAGGCUGUUGGUGGGGUAACGGCCCACCAAACCGAAGAUCAGUACGGGCCUUGAGAGAGGUAGCCCGGAGAGGGACACUGAGAUACGGGUCCCAGCCCUACGGGGUGCAGCAGGCGCGAAAACUUCUCAAUGCACGAAAGUGUGAAGAGGGGAUACUCAGUGCUUACGCUUCUGGCGUAGGCUUUUGUCGAGCGUAGACAGCUCGGCGAAUAAGUGGUGGGCAAGACCGGUGCCAGCCGCCGCGGUAACACCGGCGCCACGAGUGGUCAUCACGAUUAUUGGGCCUAAAGCGUCCGUAGCCGGCUUAGUACAUCCCUUGUGAAAUUGUGCGGCUUAACCGCACAGCGUGCAGGGGACACGACUAAGCUCGAGACCGGGAGGGGACAGAAGUAUUCCGUGGGGACCGGUAAAAUGGGAUAAUCCACGGAGGACUACCGAUGGCGAAGGCAUCUGUCCAGAACGGAUCUGACGGUGAGGGACGAAAGCCAGGGGAGCGAACCGGAUUAGAUACCCGAGUAGUCCUGGCCGUAAACGCUGUGAGCUAGGUGUCGCGUGUCCCACGUGGACGCGCGGUGUCGCAACGAAGGUGCUAAGCU